CCUAACCCAUCUUCUUCCUCUUCUCUCUUUUUCUCGUUCUCUUCCUUCCUCCCGUUUUCCCCUUUCUCUUUCUCGCUCUCUUCUCUCCCUGGCGCACGAGCGCUGCGCUCCCAGGGCGCAUCGCCGCCGCUUCCUCCUCUCCCCCCCUUCCUUCCUUCCUCUCUUUCCCUGUUCAAACCCUAACUAUCCCUCGCCUCUCCAAUAGCCGCUGCUGCCGUGGAGAUGGCCGGUGCCAAGCACUGCGCAACUCCGGCGGCCCUGUUCUAUCCCCAUGAGUGUGCUCUCGGGUCUCUACUUCUUCCUCUCCCCCUCUAAUUUCUAGUGUUUAUAUUGGAUCUACUCUCCUCCCCUAUUUUAAUUUUUGGUUACCUCUGAUGAUUCUACAGUGAUUGAAAAAUGUGUGGUUCAGCCCCUCCUUCAGAAACCCAAGUCUUCUCUUCUACUGCUGCUCUUCUGGAUCAAUGGUAACUCUGCUAGAACACCACUUGCUCCUUCUUCAGGUUGGUCUCUCUGCUGUCUCACUUCAGCAUCUUCUUGCUGCUUUGGUUUACAUGGUAAGAUAUGUGAAAAUCUUGAUUGAUAUCUGGAUCUGCUACUUCCCUUGCUUUUCCUGGUGUUGAUCCUCUUGCUUGAUUGCUGCUCCUUCUUGCUUCUCCUACUACUCCUCUGACCUCUCAUUCACUCACUCUAGCCUCUCCUGGCUGCACACACAAGGCUGCUACGGCUGUGGUGAAGCAUGGUUGAGAUGUUGAACUACUGAUCUACUAGCUGUGAUUAUUUCUCUUUCUCCCAAUCUCCACUGAUUUCCAGCCGAGGCUGCUUGCUGUUGCUGGGAUCUUACUACUACUAUGGCUGCUGUACUACUGGGAGUUGCUAGCUGUAGCUAGGUGUCUAUCGUUGCAACCAAGGCUGGCUCUACCAGACUGUGGAUAAUUCACAUUGUUAUGCUUUAUCUCAGUGCAUUUGGUGCUGGUGAUUCACCUGCUUGGACCACAUGGCUGCUGCUAGCUUUGAAACCUCACCAGGGCAUGUUCGGUGGAAUAAUUUUGAGAGGCUCACUAAUUUACAAUUUAAUGGAAAUCUGGUGAAAUUGGGAUACUUAGUAAUUUUGCAUUCCAGUCCAUAAGCUUUUGGAAUUUUGGAGGUUACUCCAGAGUUAAGGGACUGAUUAAUAAUUGCCCUAGAACUCAGGGAGUUGUAUGCAAAAAUGGAUAAUUUUGGAAGUUGGCUUGAGAUGGCUCAGUUUGUAGAUUUUUGUGUCCCUAAAUAGUUGGAUGCAAAAUUAUAAAUUGUAGCAACUCAAAAAUAUUCGUUUAUUGUUACUAUUUCGACUUUCUAGAAUGCAAACCUCCUAAAUUUAAAUUUGCGAUCAUAAAUCACACAAACAUUUUCUAAUACAUUUAAUUUUGUAUUUUAACUUGUAUGCAUGGCGUGUGAGUUUAUACAUUAAUGUUGUAUAUAAAUACAAUGUAUAAGAUGCAUAUGUACAAUAUCUAUAAUGGAUAUGUGUAUGCAUGGAUAUA
Molecule: non-coding RNA, 1523 nt
Organism: Oryza sativa Japonica Group (Japanese rice)
Lineage: Eukaryota; Viridiplantae; Streptophyta; Magnoliopsida; Poales; Poaceae
Source: RefSeq, a predicted model, not a curated record